RNAcentral lists this ribosomal RNA (442 nucleotides) under uncultured Chelativorans sp. RNAcentral describes it as "bacterial SSU rRNA". It matches the Rfam family "Bacterial small subunit ribosomal RNA", at positions 337 to 796 of the family's 1533-position model. Lineage: Bacteria; Pseudomonadati; Pseudomonadota; Alphaproteobacteria; Hyphomicrobiales; Phyllobacteriaceae. The record is from RNAcentral.
UCCUACGGGUGGCUGCAGUGGGGAAUAUUGGACAAUGGGCGAAAGCCUGAUCCAGCCAUGCCGCGUGAGUGAUGAAGGCCCUAGGGUUGUAAAGCUCUUUCACCGGUGAAGAUAAUGACGGUAGCCGGAGAAGAAGCCCCGGCUAACUUCGUGCCAGCAGCCGCGGUAAUACGAAGGGGGCUAGCGUUGUUCGGAAUUACUGGGCGUAAAGCGCACGUAGGCGGAUUGUUUAGUGAGGGGUGAAAUCCCAGGGCUCAACCCUGGAACUGCCUCUCAUACUGGCAAUCUCGAGUUCGAGAGAGGUGAGUGGAAUUCCGAGUGUAGAGGUGAAAUUCGUAGAUAUUCGGAGGAACACCAGUGGCGAAGGCGGCUCACUGGCUCGAUACUGACGCUGAGGUGCGAAAGCGUGGGGAGCAAACAGGAUUAGAUACCCCAGUAGUCA